This 55-nucleotide transfer RNA is filed under the name Paralaudakia lehmanni (Turkestan rock agama). Its description in RNAcentral is "tRNA-Cys". The record is from RNAcentral. Lineage: Eukaryota; Metazoa; Chordata; Lepidosauria; Squamata; Agamidae.
GGCCUAGUUUCCUGAAGUGCAAAUUUGGGUUUGAAAUUUGAUUUUUCAUAGGCCU